CAGCGCCCCGAGAACCCCAGGCUAGCUGGCAGAGCCGCCCGCACCCCUGGGCCCGGUGGCUGGCCCACCCUUCUCUGCCUCGAAGCAUCUGUCCUCCCUGCCGGACCCUCUCCCUAAGACAAUGAAGUGGCCACUUCAUCCUUGUCUCGACCUUCCUACCUGUGGCUUGGGAGCUCCAGCCACCGAAAGGAGCAAAGCAGGAAGAGAUGAAGAGUGGAAAGUGACGUUCAGCCAGGUGCUGGACAUUGAUCUCCAGGCCCCAGAACUCCUGAGAAUCCGCCCAACACCAGCCUGAGGCCUGCAGGAAUAAAUGAAGGAUUGAAUAAAAUGCCCAACUAACUGGAUGCCACCUGGGUGAGCUGAUUAACGGAAGACCACUGGGAACCUAGCCCUACCAGCUGACUGCAUGGAUCCUUGAGUCUUGA
Bubalus bubalis (water buffalo) is the source of this 425-nucleotide long non-coding RNA. RefSeq lists it as uncharacterized. The record is from RefSeq and is a predicted model, not a curated record. NCBI's taxonomy places the organism in Eukaryota, Metazoa, Chordata, Mammalia, Artiodactyla, Bovidae. The transcript has 3 exons.